AUUGAACGCUGGCGGCAUGCCUUACACACGCAAGUCGAACGGCAGCACGGGUGCUUGCACCUGGUGGCGAGUGGCGGACGGGUGAGUAAUACAUCGGAACGUGUCCUGAAGUGGGGGAUAACGCAUCGAAAGAUGUGCUAAUACCGCAUAUACUCUGAGGAGUAAAGUAGGGGAUCGAAAGACCUUAUGCUUUUGGAGCGGCCGAUGUCUGAUUAGCUAGUUGGUGGGGUAAUUGCCCACCAAGGCGACGAUCAGUAGUUGGUCUGAGAGGACGACCAGCCACACUGGGACUGAGACACGGCCCAGACUCCUACGGGAGGCAGCAGUGGGGAAUUUUGGACAAUGGGCGCAAGCCUGAUCCAGCAAUGCCGCGUGAGUGAAGAAGGCCUCGGGUUGUAAGACGUCUUUCUAGUUGUAGAAGAAAGAAUUAGUAACUAAUAAUUAACUAGUUACUAUGACGGUAGUACUAACAGAAGAAGACA
RNAcentral lists this ribosomal RNA (482 nucleotides) under uncultured bacterium. RNAcentral's name for it is "bacterial SSU rRNA". It matches the Rfam family "Bacterial small subunit ribosomal RNA", at positions 30 to 496 of the family's 1533-position model. The record is from RNAcentral.